GACGAACGCUGGCGGCGUGCUUAACACAUGCAAGUCGAACGGAAAGGCCCUGCUUUUGUGGGGUGCUCGAGUGGCGAACGGGUGAGUAACACGUGAGUAACCUGCCCUUGACUUUGGGAUAACUUCAGGAAACUGGGGCUAAUACCGGAUAGGAGCUCCUGCUGCAUGGUGGGGGUUGGAAAGUUUCGGCGGUUGGGGAUGGACUCGCGGCUUAUCAGCUUGUUUGUGGGGUAGUGGCUUACCAAGGCUUUGACGGGUAGCCGGCCUGAGAGGGUGACCGGCCACAUUGGGACUGAGAUACGGCCCAGACUCCUACGGGAGGCAGCAGGGGGGAAUAUUGCACAAUGGGCGGAAGCCUGAUGCAGCAACGCCGCGUGCGGGAUGACGGCCUUCGGGUUGUAAACCGCUUUCGCCUGUGACGAAGCGUGAGUGACGGUAAUGGGUAAAGAAGCACCGGCUAACUACGUG
RNAcentral lists this ribosomal RNA (468 nucleotides) under uncultured bacterium. RNAcentral describes it as "partial 16S ribosomal RNA". It matches the Rfam family "Bacterial small subunit ribosomal RNA", at positions 28 to 507 of the family's 1533-position model. The record is from RNAcentral.